Molecule: ribosomal RNA, 468 nt
Filed under: uncultured bacterium
Lineage: Bacteria
Description: partial 16S ribosomal RNA
Rfam family: Bacterial small subunit ribosomal RNA
Source: RNAcentral
GACGAACGCUGGCGGCGUGCUUAACACAUGCAAGUCGAACGGAAAGGCCCUGCUUUUGUGGGGUGCUCGAGUGGCGAACGGGUGAGUAACACGUGAGUAACCUGCCCUUGACUUUGGGAUAACUUCUGGAAACUGGGGCUAAUACCGGAUAGGAGCUCCUGCUGCAUGGUGGGGGUUGGAAAGUUUCGGCGGUAGGGGAUGGACUCGCGGCUUAUCAGCUUGUUGGUGGGGUAGUGGCGUACCAAGGCUUUGACGGGUAGCCGGCCUGAGAGGGGGACCGGCCACAUGGGGACUGAGAGACGGACCAGAAUGCUACGGGAGGCAGCAGUGGGGAAUAUUGCACAAUGGGCGGAAGCCUGAUGCAGCAACGCCGCGUGCGGGAUGACGGCCUUCGGGUUGUAAACCGCUUUCGCCUGUGACGAAGCGUGAGUGACGGUAAUGGGUAAAGAAGCACCGGCUAACUACGUG